CUACGGGCGGCUCCAGUGGGGAAUAUUGCACAAUGGGGGAAACCCUGAUGCAGCAACGCCGCGUGGAGGAUGACGCUUUUCGGUGCGUAAACUCCUUUUAUAUGUCAAGAAAAUGACGGUAGCAUAUGAAUAAGCGCCGGCUAACUCCGUGCCAGCAGCCGCGGUAAUACGGAGGGCGCAAGGUUACCCGGAAUCACUGGGCGUAAAGGACGCGUAGGCGGGUUGGAAAGUCAGGUGUGAAAGCCUACAGCUUAACUGUAGAACUGCACUUGAAACUUCAAUCUAGAGUAUGGGAGGGGGAGAUGGAAUUAGUGGUGUAGGGGUAAAAUCCGUAGAUAUCACUAGGAAUACCUAAAGCGAAGGCGAUCUGCUGGAACAUUACUGACGCUAAGGCGUGAAAGCGUGGGGAGCAAACAGGAUUAGAUACCCCAGUAGUC
Molecule: ribosomal RNA, 437 nt
Filed under: uncultured bacterium
Lineage: Bacteria
Description: partial 16S ribosomal RNA
Rfam family: Bacterial small subunit ribosomal RNA
Source: RNAcentral